UACGGGGGGAGCAAGCGUUGUUCGGAUUUACUGGGCGUAAAGGGCGCGUAGGCGGCCCUGUAAGUCCGCUGUGAAAGUCAAGGGCUCAACCUUUGAAAGCCGGUGGAUACUGCAGGACUAGAGUACGGAAGAGGCGAGUGGAAUUCCUGGUGUAGCGGUGGAAUGCGCAGAUAUCAGGAGGAACACCAAUAGCGAAGGCAGCUCGCUGGGACGUUACUGACACUGAGGCGCGAAAGCGUGGGGAGCGAACAGG
This 253-nucleotide ribosomal RNA is filed under the name uncultured bacterium. RNAcentral describes it as "partial 16S ribosomal RNA". It matches the Rfam family "Bacterial small subunit ribosomal RNA", at positions 524 to 776 of the family's 1533-position model. The record is from RNAcentral.